This is an RNA transcript of Topomyia yanbarensis, 2808 nucleotides long. RefSeq lists it as uncharacterized. The transcript is spliced from 2 exons. The record is from RefSeq and is a predicted model, not a curated record. Lineage: Eukaryota; Metazoa; Arthropoda; Insecta; Diptera; Culicidae.
UUCAAAAACUACAAACAGUUCAAAAUGCAUACUUGAGAAGUGCAAUGGGCUACCUAAAAACAACGCCAAUCCAUGUGAUUCACGCAGAAACAGGACAACUACUGAUCGAGGACCGGAUAGAAUGGCUCACUUUGAGGGACGCCAUAAAAAGCUCAUACCAUAAAAACCAACUGCAACCAUUCAUCGAAGAAGCAUUGAGACAAGAGGAAGGAAACGGAUCGUACCUAACGUCCAUAGCAUCAAAACAUAUAGACGUAAUACACCAAGUACAUCAGAAAGACAGAAAUAUGCCAUAUCUAUGUAGAAAACAGUAUACGGAUAGACAAAUCAGCCUUCGAAUUGAGCCAAAUUUAGCAGAAGACCAGCUAAGAAAAGCACAAUGGAAUGCCGACAUAUGGAAACAACAAUUCCUGCAGACAAAGGAACACAAAUAUAAAAGAUAUACUGAGAUCUACACUGAUGCCUCAAAGACCGAGGCAGGGACCGCAAUAGGGAUAACGGAUGGCACAGGAAAAAUCUGCAAAAAGGAAAAAAUCAGCGAUAAAUACUCAAUAACAAACGCAGAACUACUCGCAAUAGAUUUCGCAGUAAGGAUAAUUAAGGAACAAAAUUACACCAAGGCAGUCAUCUUUACGGACUCUAAAAGUGCCUGUCAAAUCCUGCUAAACAGAUAUACAAUACAAGAAAAUUUCAUAGCCUGGAACAUAAUAAAGGAAUUAAAACACGAAGGAAACCCGUACAUCAAAAUUCAGUGGAUCCCUAGCCACCAAGGAAUAGAAGGGAACGAAAGAGCAGACAGGCUAGCAGUAUCAACCACUCACGGAAACCAAACAGACUUUACAACGUUGGUCCUAUCAGAUGCCCUUGCACUGGCAAAAGAAGAAAUAUGGGAAAGCUGGAAAACAAAAUACAAAGCUACAUCUACGGAAAAAGGAAUAAAACACUUCGAAAUAAUGGAAGAACCCGGAAAAACGAUAUGGUCAAGAGGACUCGCACUGACAUCAGACGAAAAAAGGAUACUAAACAGAAUAAGAACAGGGCAUACACUCACAAAAGAAAGAAGAUACACAUGGGGAUGGGAAGACGAAGAAGAAUGUGACCUCUGUGAAGAAAGAGAAGACCUGGAACACAUAUUGUUCAUCUGCCCACGUUAUAAUAUCGAGAGAAACGACUUUCCAGCCCUGGAGUACUGUAAACCACUGAAAACCAUCCUAAAAAAUAACGAGGAAAUGGAUAUGAAACAAAUAGUACAAUUCCUAAAAACAACCAGGACACAGAUCUAAAAAUAAUGCUUAAUCCAUAGAAAAAGCGACAUUCGAUAAAUAAACACCAAUAACGGUAAAAAAAUAUUAAGGAAUUUAAAUAAACGAAGAAAAAACAAGACAACUCUGGCAAGAUGGACCGUGAACGGUCUUAGCCGUCUGUCAAUUCAGACACUCCAAACAAAAAAAAAAAAAAUCAAGUGAUAUUUUUAUAUUUAGAAAAUUUUGAAGUAUGCCAUUCAAAAUUUUGCAAACUAUGGAGGAAGGUGAGCAGUGUCUUUGCAUUGUUCCUUCCGCCUGGGAGAAAGAUGGUAUCUUGUGGUGGCCAAAGGCAACAGGUGCUGCCAAAUUGCUUCGGGAUAAGUACUCUCAUCCGACAUCCAAAUGGCAACAGAUGGUCUGCAUUCAGAAACGAGAGUACCGGACACUGCUGGAAGCAGAAAGCGAGCUUUCCGACACCGAAACAGAGGAAAUGGUUUCUUUUAAAAAUUCAUGCACACGAACAGUUGCACCAAAAACGAACAUGAAACAUUUCCCGAAAGACUUCAACGGAAUUUUGCAACCCGCUGACUAUAACUUUCAAUCCGUUCAAGGUGAAGUUCCAGGCACUUUGGUUACUUCACCACAGGAAGACACUGGCACUCCGAACACCUUUUAUUUACCAUCAACAGUGCUUGAAGAAGAAAUGAGUGCUUCAAAUAUAGAGACUAUCGAUAUGAAUAGCUGCUAAGCGGUAUCAUUGGAAGACAUCGCAACCAACCAAGCACGCAUCAUUGAUAAUCAGAAUAAAAUGAUCACCGUCCUUGCUCAAUUGAAGGCAAGUUUUGAUUAUCUGAAUGAAAAAGUGAUGCAAAUGGAAUAAGGUUCUGAUAGAAGUGCUUCAGAAGUUUACACAAAAGAUUUUUUUAAACCUGUCGACUCAUUGGAGAUGUUGGAUGACUUGGAGAAUAUUCUAAAGGACGAUACUGCCAUAAGCAGAUACGUAAAACAUGAGCUACAUUUGCGGCACAACCUCAAAGGAGGAUGGUAUUGAUUGCUGCUAUCGUCUUAUCGAUUAUUUUAUGACUCGACAGUUCCUUACAAGAUGUAAAUGGACUGGUAUCUCCAGAGACAACACUGCAUCAGUAGAACUUAACGAGGAGUCUGAGCCGCAGAUGAAAAUUCCAUUCAUGACUUACAGAAGAGUCAGACUACUAUUUUUGAAACUUGUUCUUCAAGCGGAUAGUAGUUUCACAGCCAUGAAUUGCGAUGAAUUUUUCAAACGGGUACUGAAAAAAUAGCAAACAACGAUUGCUAUCUAAAACAGUAUCUAAACAUAAGAAUCGUCCAAAAAGAUUGCAGUAUGGUGCCCGUCAACAUAGCCUUCAACAGGGUGCCCGAUAAAAUUCUUAAAGCAAAUUUGUACUAUGAUGAUGUUACGUUGAAAUGGUAUGUUUAAAUAAAUUGGAUUAAUGUUUUAUGUUUUAUCUAGUUUGACUCUUCUUAUAUCAUUCUAAUGAAAACAUCACAUAGUAUGAAGAAGCGGAAAGAAAACGGAAUGCGUAUC